RNAcentral lists this long non-coding RNA (7715 nucleotides) under Capsicum annuum. RNAcentral describes it as "long non-coding RNA (CANN_LNC015766)". Lineage: Eukaryota; Viridiplantae; Streptophyta; Magnoliopsida; Solanales; Solanaceae. The record is from RNAcentral.
GCCGUGUGUGAGUUGGUACUUGAGCCAUCCAAUGGUUUAAAUGUUUUUAAGUGUGAAGAGGAGCCUUGAAGUGUAAUAAACUUACACCCCAAGGCCACCCCUUGGCAAGGGUAGAAUGGUCAUUGUUCUCUCAUUUUGUGGUGUAAUAUAAAUAGGUAGUAUUAGGGAUAUUUGGAGUAGUUCAUUCAUGAUAUUUUGAGACAACAAAUACUUAUAAUAUUUUUUGAACUUCUCUCUUCCAUUGGAGAAGUUCAAAUCCGAAUCUCACAAUUAGAGUGAUAUUUGUGUUGUAUCUUGGCUAGAAACUAGGAUCUUGAGGUCAUAGAGUUCCUCUUGGUCCAAGUAAGAACUUGGUGUUAACAUCUUUUAAUCUUAGGGUCCUUUUCAGUUAUUAUGGUUCUUAGAUUCUUAGAUGUUGUAUGCCAAGUUAUUUAUCCUUCUUUUGUUAUCUUGAGAUGCUGUUUGUAUCUUGAAGUAGUGAAGCCGUGUGGGGCCAAUUUCGAUUCACUGCACUUGUUGCAAUCUUGUACUCUUAAAAAUCUGGUUUUUGUUGAAAUCUUGAAGUCUAGUGAAGCCGUGUGUGGACUAUUUCGAUUCACUAGCAUUGUUGUUGACAUCUUGUUGUUCUUGUUGUGGUUUGCUUUUUGUGUUUGAACUUGAUCCUUGUAUCAUUUGGUAUCAGAGCUCAAGGCUUGGUUUUGUUCUCACAAAACCAAACCAAUCUUGGGAAGAUUUUACCAAAGGUAGAAACAUUGUGUUGUGAUGAAUCUUGGCUGAAACUUGAAGAAAUGUUGUGUUGACUUGGCCAAGAGUUUUGUGACUAGAUCUAGUAGUCUUUUACUUGUUUAGUAUGUUUCUAGUAUUGGUUUCUUUCUCACCAACACUAAAAGUGUCUAGAUCUAAAGUUGAGCUUAUAAUAUUGACUAUUGUUGCGGUGACUUGAAGUGGGCCGUAGGUUGUACCUUGUUGUAGACGAUUGGUGGUGUUGUGCUCUUGAAGAAGUUGUUAUUGUGUUCUUGAAGGUUGUUGUGGUGUUCAUCUUGUUCUUCAUCUAUUCUUACAACUUAAGACAACAAAAAGUGCAAAAUAGAUCCAAAAAAGUUGUAAGACAAAAGUUGUAAAGUUGUUUGUGAGAAGACUUGCACACAUCACUUCCUAGACUUGACAACCCCUUUUCCUUAAAUCAAGGGACCUUGUCUUGUGGGACUAGUAAAGUCAAAUCUCACCUUUUUGAGUUUGAAAAGUUGAAAAAAAAGGUUACAAGACUUUACCUUCCCUCCAAUAUCAAGUCAUCCAUUACAAAAAAAUUAUGUAAACAUUAAGACUUCAAGUUGAUGAACAAAUUGUGUGGGCCGUGACCAGUUGUAAGCUGCCACAUCACCCUAAAACGCUGUUCAGUCAAGAUAAAGCUCAAAUUUGGAUUUUCUUAGUUUCUAAUUGUUGAUUCUUGGUUUCCCUUGGUUGUUCCGAGAACUAACUAACAAAUUAGUACAUUCCUACUAGCUUGCUACUUAGUCCUUUGAAGCCUUGGGUUCGUGUCAUCGUUUGUUUGUGUGCUUUUGUUGUUUGAACACGUUGAAAUUUCUUGAUUCUAGUCCGACGAGAAUUCUUUGAGUCUUCAAACAAGAAUCUCUGGAUGAGAGCCUACUCAUACUUUAAGGAUUCACGGGUUACUAGCCAAUCUACAACACUUGUGGAACUAAAGUGUGAGGUGAUCUAAAGAGUGUGAGUGAGGAGAGGGCUGCACUAACUUGUUUGUUGAUUUUGUAGGUGAUACCUUGACAAUGGAGGGAAUCACGUCUCAAACCGUGGAUUCCAAUGCCAUUGAGACUAUGAGGGUCACUUUUGAGGCUAUGACCCGAACACUUGAAAGGUUGAAUACGGAAGUUGGAGAUGUGAGAGGGGAUUUGACCACAAUAAAAGAGAGAUGUGUUGACUAUUAGUGGGAGAUUAGAACAAGUGGAGAGUGAAAGGAACUCUCGCCCUUCUGCUUCUCAGCAUGUUUCUUCAAAUAGACAUGAUAGAACUUCCUUCGCCAUCGUUACUCCCGAAACAUGGCACCAAAUGCUAAAUCCACCACUUGCUCCACUAAAUGCCGCAAGCCAAACUACUCAUAUCCCUCCAACCCGUGACUCCAAUAGGCCAACACAUUCCCAAACUCCUCAAGUCCCACAAGAGGGACUUGGACGUCAAAUACCUCCACUAAAUCCGAACCCUCCCUUCCAGGCUCCACUAAACCAAAGACCACCACCUCCACAAAAUCUAAUUCAUCCAAAUCAAGUCCUAAAUGUCCAAACCGUCCCGUUCACUUUGAGGAAUAUGGUAGAGAGGAGUAUGAAGGGUAUGGAGCCUUUGAUGAUGCUUACAUGAGGGAGGGGGAGAUAAGAAGGGGUCGUGUGGAUCCAAGAAGAUACUGAGGGUAUGGAGAAAGGGGAAACCGACACCAAGAGAGAGACGUAGGCAUCAACACCAUCAAGUUGAGCCUACCAAUCUUUAAAGGUGAAAGUGACCCCGAGGCCUACUUAGCUUGGGAAUUGGCUGGUGACAGUUUUCCAAGUUGAUAUCUCGGAGGAAAAGAAAAGUUGUUCUGCCAUAGCUCAUUUUGAGGGUUAUGCUAACACUUGGUGGGAAUACGUCAAGCGGUUUGGUAAUGAAUUAGUUGAUGGGCAACCACCACCUUGGUUUCGGUUAAGAUACUUAAUGAGACAACGUUACCUUCCCGAGAGUUAUCGCCAUGAGUUGCUUGCUAGGUUGUACAACUUGCGUCAAGGUAACAAAAGUGUGAUGGCAUAUUAUGAUGAGUUUCAACAACUUAUGUUGAAGCUUGAUCAUCGUGGGGAACAAAUUAGUCAUGGCAUCAUCCGGUUCAAGUGUCGGUUGAACAAAGAGAUCUCCAUUCAUUUGACACUUCACAAGUUUGAUACCAUUGAAGGUAUUUUCCAAGCGGCUUGAGAUUGAAAGGGAACUUAAAGAGAGAUCGUCGUUCAAGGCAAGAGACAAUCAACCUCGGGUUGGCCUAGGAACAAGGAGAUGGGUCAAUCCUCUUUGGGUUGGCCUAAAAACAAGGACCUACCCGCCACUACAAGGCUGCCCGAGCCCAAAACAGUCCACAAAAUUCCUCCAAGGCAAGAAGUUCACGAGUAUCCUAAUCCUAAAGGGUUCCAAUGUUUCAAAUGCCAAGGUUGGGGAUAUAAAGCCAAUGAAUGUCCCAACCGACGCAAUGUGAUCCUACGGGAAGGGAGAUUAUAUUACCUUGGUGAGGAGGUGGGUCUUGAAAAGAAGGAGAAUGAGGCCGAGCCUUAAGAUGGAGAGGAACCCGAGAAUGGACCACAUGAUGAUGGUGAAGAUGUUUAUCCGCAAUAAGGGGAGUGUGUGGUUCCAAACUUUGUAGUUAGGCGCGUCAUGAUUAGUAAGGCAAUAGAUGACCCUAGUCAAAGGGAAAAUCUAUUCCAUGCUAAAUGUCUUGUAAAGGGGAGUGUGUGCACUUUGGUGAUAGAUAGUGGUAGUUGUGCAAAUGUUGUUAGUGUUACUAUGGUAAACUUCUUGAAAUUGUCAACUACACCGCACACUAGUCUUUACAAGUUGCAAUGGUUGAAUGAAUGUGGUGAAUUGAAGGUCACAAGGCAAUGUGUGAUACGGUUUAAGGUGGAAAACUACCACGAUGAAGUGCUUUGUGACGUGAUACCAAUGCAAGCGUGUCACUUGUUGUUAGGUAGACCUUGGCAAUAUGAUAGGUCUACCAAACAUGAUGGGUGGACCAAUUGAUAUACUGAUGCAAGUGAAUGAGUGGCAUCAAAAGAUGAGAGAAUUGAAGAAAAAGGGGAAGAAAUUCAAAAAUGAAGAAAAAAGGGGGGAAUCCGUAGGUGGGGCAGUAGGGGUGGAUUAGUAAGGCAAUAGAUGACCCUAGUCAAAGGGAAAAUCUAUUCCAUGCUAAAUGUCUUGUAAAGGGGAGUGUGUGCACUUUGGUGAUAGAUAGUGGUAGUUGUGCAAAUGUUGUUAGUGUUACUAUGGUAAACUUCUUGAAAUUGUCAACUACACCGCACACUAGUCUUUACAAGUUGCAAUGGUUGAAUGAAUGUGGUGAAUUGAAGGUCACAAGGCAAUGUGUGAUACGGUUUAAGGUGGAAAACUACCACGAUGAAGUGCUUUGUGACAUGAUACCAAUGCAAGCGUGUCACUUGUUGUUAGGUAGACCUUGGCAAUAUGAUAGGUCUACCAAACAUGAUGGGUGGACCAAUUGAUAUACUGAUGCAAGUGAAUGAGUGGCAUCAAAAGAUGAGAGAAUUGAAGAAAAAGGGGAAGAAAUUCAAAAAUGAAGAAAAAAGGGGGGAAUCCGUAGGUGGGGCAGUAGGGGUGUCCUGGGCUGCCUCAACAUCAAAUGGAAAAGAAAACAUGGUGAUGUUGGUUAGAAAGAAAGAGCUCUUCGUGGAUCAUGAUGAGGACACACCCAUGCUUCUUUUGGCACAUUGUUUUAACACUAACCCCACGAAUUCUCCUGUUUCUCCUUUGAUUUCUUAUGUGUUGUAGGAUUAUGAAGAUGUUUUUCCCAAAGAACUUCCACAAGGGCUGGCCCCGCUUCGGGGAAUUGAACACCAAAUAGAUUUUGUGCCGGGAUCCUUAUUGCCCAACAAACCGGCUUAUAGAGCAACCCGACGGAUACUAAGGAAUUGCAAUGCCAAGUUGAGGAACUUCUCAACAAAGGUUACAUCAAGGAAAGCACGAGUCUAUGCGCGGUUCCGGUGCUACUAGUGCCUAAGAAAGACGGAACGUGGCGUAUGUGUGGGGACUGUCGAGCCAUCGACAAGAUUACGAUAAAAUAUCGUUACCCUAUUCCUAGGUUAGAUGAUAUGCUUGAUGAAUUGAAUGGGUCGUGUCUAUUUUCCAAGAUUGAUUUCAGGAGUGGCUAUCACCAAAUAAGAAUGCAACCCGGUGAUGAAUGGGAAACCGACUUCAAGACCAAGUUUGGUCUUUAUGAAUGGGUGGUUAUGCCAUUCGACUUAACAAACGCUCCAAGCACUUUUAUGAGGCUAAUGAAUCAUGUGAUGAAGCCAUUUAUUGGAAAGUUUGUUGUCUACUUUGAUGAUGUUUUGGUUUAUAGCAAGUCCUUAGAUGAACAUGUGAUGCAUUUACAAUGUGUGUUUGAUGUCCUUAGAAAGGAAAGAUUGUAUGCAAAUCUGGAAAAAAGCUCUUUUGGUGUUAAUGAAGUGGUUUUCUUGGGGUUUGUUGUUAGCUCAAGAUGGGUCGAAGUGGACAAAUCCAAGAUAAACGCUAUAAAAAAUUGGCCAAUCCCACAAACCGUUGGAGAAGUAAGAAGCUUCCACGGGUUGGCUAGUUUUUAUAGAAGGUUUGUCAAAGGAUUUAGCACCAUAGCCGCCCCCUUAACCGAGGUCAUUCGGAAUGAUCAACCCUUCAAGUGGGGUGAAGAUCAAGCUAAGGCUUUUGAAGCUUUGAAAGCUAUGCUCAUUUUCACGCCUUUGUUACAAUUGCCCAACUUUGAUAAGAUGUUCGAAGUUGAAUGCGAUGCUAACAAAGUAGACAUAGGGGCUGUUUUGAUGCAAGAUUUAAAACCCAUUGCUUACUUUAGCGAAAAGCUCAAAGGAGCAACUCUAAACUACUCCACAUAUGAUUUAGAGUUGUAUGCCUUAAUUAGAGCCUUGGCCACUUGGCAACACUAUUUAUGGCCUAAGGAGUUCGUGAUCCGAACGGACCAUGAAUCCUUAAAGCACCUUCGGGCUCAAGAUAAGCUUAACAAACGACAUGCCAAAUGGAUUGAGUUUCUUGAAAUCUUCCCUUAUGUUAUCCAAUACAAGAAGGGUAAGGACAUGUAGUAGCCGAUGCUUUGUCUAGAAAACAUAUUCUUGUGUCUACUUUGGCGUCAAAAUUGAUGGGUUUUGAGAGCUUAAAAGGAUUAUAUCCCGAGGACCCUCACUUUGCUCUUAUCUUUAGGGAAUGCGAAGAAUUGGGUAGGGACAAGUGGGAUUCGGCUAGGGGUUCAAAUCCCUAUGCCAAAUUUGAUGGUUACCAAAUUUGAUGGUUACUUGUUUAAAGGUAGACGAUUGUGUGUACCCUCUAGCUCUUGGAGAGAAUUGUUUGUGAGGGAAGCAUACGAUGGCGGUCUAAUGGGUCACUUCGGGGUCGAAAAAACCCUUGGGAUCUUGGAGGAGCAAUUCUAUUAGCCAAGAAUGCACAAGAAUGUGGCUAGGAUUUGCGGCCAAUGUGUAGAUUGCAAAGGAGCCAAAUCUCGGCUCCUACCUCACGGGUUGUACACCCCACUGCCCACCCCUUCCUGUCCUUGGCUUGAUAUAUCAAUGGACUUCGUGUUAGGUUUGCCGAUGACUAGGUGGGGUCGGGAUAGUGUCUUUGUUGUUGUGGAUCGAUUUUCUAAGAUGGCGCACUUUAUCCCAUGUUCUAAAUGUGAUGAUGCACCUAAUGUGGCCUCUUUAUUUGUUGAGAAUGUGGUUAAGUUACAUGGUGUUCCAAGGACCAUUGUAAGUGACCGGGACUCCAAAUUCCUAAGUCACUUUUGAAAGUCCAUGUGGGGUAGGCUUGGUACCAAGUUGUUCUCCAUGCCUUGCCACCCACAAAUCGAUGGCCAAACGGUAUUAGUAAAUAGGACUUUGGGUGCUAUGCUACGUUCCAUGGUUAAGGGAAAAAUGACUUCUUGGGAGGAAGACUUACCAUUGAUUGAGUUUGCUUAUAACCGUGUCAUAUACUUAAGUACGGGAAUGACUCCCUUUGAGUGUGUAUACGGCUUCAACUCCCUUACCCCUUUGGAUUUAACACCUUUGCCAAGUGAUCUCAUGAUUAGCCUAGAUGGAACCAAACGGGCAGAUUCUAUGAAGAAGUUAUAUUAGAAGGUGCGGUUUCGACUUGAGAAGAAAAACCAAGAAAUUGCAAGGAGGGCCAACAAGGGGAGAAAGACACUCAUUCUUGAACCGGGAGAUUGGGUGUGGGUGCAUCUUUUGAAGGAUCGGUUUCCAUCUCAAAGGAAGUCCAAAUUGAUGCCAAGGGGUGAUGGUCCAUUCCAAGUACUUGAGAAAAAUCAAUGACAACGCCUACAAGAUUGACCUUCCACCAGAAUACCAAGUGCACAACACUUUCUACAUAUGUGAUCUUUCUCUAGUGGAUGCGGUUGAGGAUGACCAAAUGCCGAAUUUCAGGUCAAAUUCCUCUCAAGAUGGAGAGGAUGAUACGGGUGUACCAAGCUGCCCAACAAGUUCACGACCAUUCACACGUAGCCAAGCUCGGGAGUUACAAAAACUCCAAGCUAUGCUCAUGCAAAUGGCCGUGUGUGAGUUGGUACUUGAGCCAUCCAAUGGUUUAAAUGUUUUUAAGUGUGAAGAGGAGCCUUGAAGUGUAAUAAACUUAUACUCCAAGGACACCCCUUGGCAAUAGUAGGAUGGUCAUUGUAUAUUUUGAGACAACAAAUACUUAUAAUAUUUUUUGAACUUCUCUCUUCCAUUGGAGAAGUUCAAAUCCGAAUCUCACAAUUAGAGUGAUACUUGUGUUGUAUCUUGGCUAGAAACUAGGAUCUUGAGGUCAUAGAGUUCCUCUUGGUCCAAGUAAGAACUUGGUGUUAACAUCUUUUAAUCUUAGGGUCCUUUUCAGUUAUUAUGGUUCUUAGAUUCUUAGAUGUUGUAUGCCAAGUUAUUUAUCCUUCUUUUGUUAUCUUGAGAUGUUGUUUGUAUCUUGAAGUAGUGAAGCCAUGUGGGGCC